GCCCUUGUAGCCCAACUGGAAGAGGCAUCUGAUUUAAGCUCAGAAAAGGUGUCAGUUCGACUCUGACCAAGGGUA
This 75-nucleotide transfer RNA is filed under the name Chitinophagia bacterium. RNAcentral describes it as "tRNA-Leu". It matches the Rfam family "tRNA". From Rfam's summary of the family: Transfer RNA (tRNA) molecules are approximately 80 nucleotides in length. Their secondary structure includes four short double-helical elements and three loops (D, anti-codon, and T loops). The record is from RNAcentral. Lineage: Bacteria; Pseudomonadati; Bacteroidota; Chitinophagia.